RNAcentral lists this long non-coding RNA (470 nucleotides) under Cricetulus griseus (Chinese hamster). Its description in RNAcentral is "lncRNA (ENSCGRG00000025994.1)". The record is from RNAcentral. Lineage: Eukaryota; Metazoa; Chordata; Mammalia; Rodentia; Cricetidae.
AUGAGUUUUGAACCUGGCCAUUGCUUUUAUUAUCGUAGUUCAGUAAUGUUUCUGGCACACAGUAGGCAUUCAACAAACAUUUUCUGGCUAAAUGAGUGUAUCAGUGGUUUAAUUUGCAAGGCAUCACCAUCAAGGAACACCUGCAACAGUAACAUAAAAAUUUUGCAGCUGGUUAUUUAUUGGUCUUGGCAGAAGCAGAAUCAAAAAGUUCUAGUUAACAAGGAAUCACUGGAAACCAAGACCGGACAGCCAAGCUAGCCUGAGGUAUGCAGCAGAGAGCAACAAGAAAACCCUGUCUCAAAACAAGGUGGAAGAACUUGAAGCCAGGUGUAAAGGUCAAGUCCAGGGGUCUAGAGAGGUGAUUUAAGGAAGAGUACUCACCGCUUACAGAAGACCCAGAUCCACUUCCGAACAUUUACAAGGUAGAUGGUAACUGUUACUGCAUUUCCAGGGGACCCAAUACUCCGUGG